AAUCAACGCUGGCGGCGUGCCUCAGACAUGCAAGUCGAACGCGAAAGGUUCCUUCGGGAACCGAGUAGAGUGGCGCACGGGUGAGUAACACGUAGGUAAUUUGCCUUUGGGUGGGGAAUAACAGCCGGAAACGGCUGCUAAUACCGCAUAAUGCAGCGGCUCGACAUCGAGACAGUUGUUAAAGCGGGGGAUCGCAAGACCUCGCGCCUAAAGAGAAGCCUGCGGCAGAUUAGCUAGUUGGUAGGGUAAUGGCCUACCAAGGCGACGAUCUGUAACCGGCCUGAGAGGGCGGUCGGUCACACUGACACUGACAUACGGGGUCAGACUCCUACGGGAGGCAGCAGUCGGGAAUUUUGGGCAAUGGGCGAAAGCCUGACCCAGCAACGCCGCGUGAAGGAUGAAAUCCCUCGGGAUGUAAACUUCGCAAGAAUGGGAAGAAUAAGUGUGGGCUAAUA
This 455-nucleotide ribosomal RNA is filed under the name uncultured bacterium. RNAcentral describes it as "bacterial SSU rRNA". It matches the Rfam family "Bacterial small subunit ribosomal RNA", at positions 32 to 465 of the family's 1533-position model. The record is from RNAcentral.